This 69-nucleotide transfer RNA is filed under the name Strophidon sathete (slender giant moray). RNAcentral's name for it is "tRNA-Phe". It matches the Rfam family "tRNA". From Rfam's summary of the family: Transfer RNA (tRNA) molecules are approximately 80 nucleotides in length. Their secondary structure includes four short double-helical elements and three loops (D, anti-codon, and T loops). Further hydrogen bonds mediate the characteristic L-shaped molecular structure. tRNAs have two regions of fundamental functional importance: the anti-codon, which is responsible for specific mRNA codon recognition, and the 3' end, to which the tRNAs corresponding amino acid is attached (by aminoacyl-tRNA synthetases). tRNAs cope with the degeneracy of the genetic code in two manners: having more than one tRNA (with a specific anti-codon) for a particular amino acid; and 'wobble' base-pairing, i.e. permitting non-standard base-pairing at the 3rd anti-codon position. Lineage: Eukaryota; Metazoa; Chordata; Actinopteri; Anguilliformes; Muraenidae. The record is from RNAcentral.
GUUAAUGUAGCUUAACCCAAAGCAUGGCACUGAAGAUGCCAAGAUGGGGCGUAAAAACCCCCAAUAACA